This 291-nucleotide ribosomal RNA is filed under the name uncultured Cyanobacterium sp. Its description in RNAcentral is "partial 16S ribosomal RNA". It matches the Rfam family "Bacterial small subunit ribosomal RNA", at positions 748 to 1038 of the family's 1533-position model. The record is from RNAcentral. Lineage: Bacteria; Bacillati; Cyanobacteriota; Cyanophyceae; Chroococcales; Geminocystaceae.
CGGCCGCGUCGACGGGGAGCGAAUGGGAUUAGAUACCCCAGUAGUCCUAGCCGUAAACGAUGGAUACUAGGUGUUGUCUGUAUCGACCCGGACAGUGCCGUAGCUAACGCGUUAAGUAUCCCGCCGUGGGGAGUACGCACGCAAGUGUGAAACUCAAAGGAAUUGACGGGGGCCCGCACAAGCGGUGGAGCAUGUGGUUUAAUUCGAAGCAACGCGAAGAACCUUACCAGGCCUUGACAUGCAGAGAACUUUCCAGAGAUGGAUUGGUGCCUUCGGGAACUCUGACACAGG